Molecule: ribosomal RNA, 535 nt
Filed under: Diaporthe columnaris
Lineage: Eukaryota; Fungi; Ascomycota; Sordariomycetes; Diaporthales; Diaporthaceae
Description: eukaryotic LSU rRNA
Rfam family: 5.8S ribosomal RNA (bases 147-300)
Source: RNAcentral
GUGGAAGGAGAUUUCCUUAUAUCUAACAGUUGACUCGGCUCCGCCGGCCUCACUGAGGCCCCUCGGAAACGAGGAGCAGCCCGCCGGCGGCCAACCAAACUCUUGUUUCUUAGUGAAUCUCUGAGUAAAAAACAUAAAUGAAUCAAAACUUUCAACAACGGAUCUCUUGGUUCUGGCAUCGAUGAAGAACGCAGCGAAAUGCGAUAAGUAAUGUGAAUUGCAGAAUUCAGUGAAUCAUCGAAUCUUUGAACGCACAUUGCGCCCUCUGGUAUUCCGGAGGGCAUGCCUGUUCGAGCGUCAUUUCAACCCUCAAGCAUUGCUUGGUGUUGGGGCACCGCCUGUAAAAGGGCGGGCCCUGAAAUCUAGUGGCGAGCUCGCCAGGACCCCGAGCGUAGUAAUUAUAUUUCGUUCUGGAAGGCCCUGGCGGUGCCCUGCCGUUAAACCCCCAACUUCUGAAAAUUUGACCUCGGAUCAGGUAGGAAUACCCGCUGAACUUAAGCAUAUCAAUAAGCGGAGGAAGAUUCCUAAGUGCACC